This is a long non-coding RNA of Triticum urartu, 1263 nucleotides long. RefSeq lists it as uncharacterized. The record is from RefSeq and is a predicted model, not a curated record. Lineage: Eukaryota; Viridiplantae; Streptophyta; Magnoliopsida; Poales; Poaceae.
UGUUUUCCUAUCUUUCAAUUAAGCAGCCUGUCUAGGAAUUAGUUGAAUUCCUAACUAUGUGUCGAAAGUUGGGCGCACAUUUGGGUAUGACAUAAGGUCCAUAAUAUUGCCUGAGGUUAUCUUGUAAUUGUUUUGAAAUAGAUUUCUAUGAAUCGAUGUUGGACUAGACUAUAUCUUGACCAAUGAUGAGAAGUUGGUAAUCAGUAGAGAGCGGCCUUCCUGCACGCAGCGCAUCGACGGCCGUGCUGCGCGAUGUGAUGUGUGCAAAAGAAAACGUGAAAAUAACUAAAGCUGACAUACAUUGCUGGAUACAAGCAAAUACACCGCACACAUCGCCUCCGGUGGGCUUGCCUGGUACAGGUUUUGACUUUUGACGUACGCAGGGUCGGUCCGCUCAGAGCGUGCAGAGGGUACAUUAUUAAUUUUGACAGGCGGGCCCUGGCUUGGUGGCGUGUAACCAGGUUGGGGCAAAGACCACGGGAUCCCUUUUCACAUCUGGGGCAAAGACCACGCCAAGCCGGAGGCAGUGGUGGCGCCCGUGGUUCGUCAGGCUCUGCUCAUGGCGACUGGUGCAGAAUCUGGAUCGAUGUCGGCGGUCAACGAUCCAGGAGCACGCUUGGGGGCGUCCAUUUCGGGCGGUGGCGGCGCCGCGGCGGCCGAAUUCGGUCGUGCGAGCGUUCUCUCUUGAUAUGCGCCAGCCGGAUCAGGGCGGUGCCGUCGUUGGGCGACAUGUUAGUAAAAAUCUGUGGCUCUGUUCUUGCCGGUUGACCGCGCUGGUCUAUGCUAUCCUCCUUCCUCCAUGGUCCUGUCGCCUUUUGCGAACCAAUUUUUGCAGAUUGGCCCGCACGGCGAGCGCUCCAGAUGUGGUCGGGGGUGCACACGCGGGGUGCGGCGUCGAGCCGCCGGUCCCCGAAGCACAUGUGUUGGGGGGCACACCGGCGUCAGAUGUGGAGUCAUCGGGGGUGUGCACGACAUUGAGCUCUGGCGGCGGCGCUUAGCCAUCGGCGGACAUAGGGGUUGGCACACAUUCGUCGGGCGUGCAGGCGGCAGCUCACUGGGCGCCGCGGCUACCUGCAGCGGUGGUGUCGCUGGGCGCAAGAAAACUAGUUACUUGGGUCUGUAUCUCCGAUUUUAGUCAUCUGUCUUGUGUCUUUGUAUCCCUAUUUGAUCCUGAAGGUCUGUAUUUGCACUGGUUUAUUUGCUUUCGAUUGGGAUUCGAAAGACUUAUGUUCUGGUUCAUUAAUAAAAGCCAUUUGUUUUCUA